UUAAGCGACUAAGCGUACACGGUGGAUGCCCUGGCAGUCAGAGGCGAUGAAGGACGUGCUAAUCUGCGAUAAGCGUCGGUAAGGUGAUAUGAACCGUUAUAACCGGCGAUUUCCGAAUGGGGAAACCCAGUGUGAUUCGUCACACUAUCAUUAACUGAAUCCAUAGGUUAAUGAGGCGAACCGGGGGAACUGAAACAUCUAAGUACCCCGAGGAAAAGAAAUCAACCGAGAUUCCCCCAGUAGCGGCGAGCGAACGGGGAGGAGCCCAGAGCCUGAAUCAGUGUGUGUGUUAGUGGAAGCGUAUGGAAAGGCGCGCGAUACAGGGUGACAGCCCCGUACACAAAAAUGCACAUGCUGUGAGCUCGAUGAGUAGGGCGGGACACGUGGUAUCCUGUCUGAAUAUGGGGGGACCAUCCUCCAAGGCUAAAUACUCCUGACUGACCGAUAGUGAACCAGUACCGUGAGGGAAAGGCGAAAAGAACCCCGGCGAGGGGAGUGAAAAAGAACCUGAAACCGUGUACGUACAAGCAGUGGGAGCACAGAGCAAUCUGUGUGACUGCGUACCUUUUGUAUAAUGGGUCAGCGACUUAUAUUCUGUAGCAAGGUUAACCGAAUAGGGGAGCCGAAGGGAAACCGAGUCUUAACUGGGCGUUAAGUUGCAGGGUAUAGACCCGAAACCCGGUGAUCUAGCCAUGGGCAGGUUGAAGGUUGGGUAACACUAACUGGAGGACCGAACCGACUAAUGUUGAAAAAUUAGCGGAUGACUUGUGGCUGGGGGUGAAAGGCCAAUCAAACCGGGAGAUAGCUGGUUCUCCCCGAAAGCUAUUUAGGUAGCGCCUCGUGAAUUCAUCUCCGGGGGUAGAGCACUGUUUCGGCAAGGGGGUCAUCCCGACUUACCAACCCGAUGCAAACUGCGAAUACCGGAGAAUGUUAUCACGGGAGACACACGGCGGGUGCUAACGUCCGUCGUGAAGAGGGAAACAACCCAGACCGCCAGCUAAGGUCCCAAAGUCAUGGUUAAGUGGGAAACGAUGUGGGAAGGCCCAGACAGCCAGGAUGUUGGCUUAGAAGCAGCCAUCAUUUAAAGAAAGCGUAAUAGCUCACUGGUCGAGUCGGCCUGCGCGGAAGAUGUAACGGGGCUAAACCAUGCACCGAAGCUGCGGCAGCGACGCUUAUGCGUUGUUGGGUAGGGGAGCGUUCUGUAAGCCUGUGAAGGUGUGCUGUGAGGCAUGCUGGAGGUAUCAGAAGUGCGAAUGCUGACAUAAGUAACGAUAAAGCGGGUGAAAAGCCCGCUCGCCGGAAGACCAAGGGUUCCUGUCCAACGUUAAUCGGGGCAGGGUGAGUCGACCCCUAAGGCGAGGCCGAAAGGCGUAGUCGAUGGGAAACAGGUUAAUAUUCCUGUACUUGGUGUUACUGCGAAGGGGGGACGGAGAAGGCUAUGUUGGCCGGGCGACGGUUGUCCCGGUUUAAGCGUGUAGGCUGGUUUUCCAGGCAAAUCCGGAAAAUCAAGGCUGAGGCGUGAUGACGAGGCACUACGGUGCUGAAGCAACAAAUGCCCUGCUUCCAGGAAAAGCCUCUAAGCAUCAGGUAACAUCAAAUCGUACCCCAAACCGACACAGGUGGUCAGGUAGAGAAUACCAAGGCGCUUGAGAGAACUCGGGUGAAGGAACUAGGCAAAAUGGUGCCGUAACUUCGGGAGAAGGCACGCUGAUAUGUAGGUGAGGUGCCUCGCGGAUGGAGCUGAAAUCAGUCGAAGAUACCAGCUGGCUGCAACUGUUUAUUAAAAACACAGCACUGUGCAAACACGAAAGUGGACGUAUACGGUGUGACGCCUGCCCGGUGCCGGAAGGUUAAUUGAUGGGGUUAGCGGUAACGCGAAGCUCUUGAUCGAAGCCCCGGUAAACGGCGGCCGUAACUAUAACGGUCCUAAGGUAGCGAAAUUCCUUGUCGGGUAAGUUCCGACCUGCACGAAUGGCGUAAUGAUGGCCAGGCUGUCUCCACCCGAGACUCAGUGAAAUUGAACUCGCUGUGAAGAUGCAGUGUACCCGCGGCAAGACGGAAAGACCCCGUGAACCUUUACUAUAGCUUGACACUGAACAUUGAGCCUUG
Molecule: ribosomal RNA, 2109 nt
Filed under: Escherichia coli KOEGE 7 (16a)
Lineage: Bacteria; Pseudomonadati; Pseudomonadota; Gammaproteobacteria; Enterobacterales; Enterobacteriaceae
Description: bacterial LSU rRNA
Rfam family: Bacterial large subunit ribosomal RNA
Source: RNAcentral